This 634-nucleotide long non-coding RNA is filed under the name Monodelphis domestica (gray short-tailed opossum). Its description in RNAcentral is "lncRNA (ENSMODG00000030160.2)". The record is from RNAcentral. Lineage: Eukaryota; Metazoa; Chordata; Mammalia; Didelphimorphia; Didelphidae.
CAGAAUAACGUGCACCAGAGGGCACUGCUCUGCUAAACUGGGAGGGAAUGUGCUUACAACAAGCCUUGGGGAAGCCAGCUAAUAUCUGAGCAGAAUCAAGAGCCCUGCCAUCAAUGGAAUCAAUGUUGGAAAUGCACUUGGGAAGAACAAUCUAUACAGGGGAAAUGGAAGAUGUGAAGGGAGACCAAGGCCUCUGGAAAGGAAGUUGAUAAUUUUGCAGGUGAAGAGUGGAGUCAGAAAUGAAAUGAGCACACACUGUGAAAUGGUGAUCCAGACCAGACUCACCAACGAGAGAAGAGGGCUACAGUGUCAGGGUAUCACCAAGACUGCUGAGAAGUCAAGGAUGGGCUUCAAGGUCUCUUCCAGUUCUAGAUCAAUUAUUUUGUGAUCUGCUCACCCAGCAACUCACUUUUGUUUAUCAAAUUGACAGAGUAGCAAGAAGAACUUUAAGGUACAGGACAUCAAAGUUUUGAAAAGAUUAUGCUUGGAGAGGAGGUAGCCAGAGGACAAUGUAAGGACACUGAAUAUUUAGAAAGAAUGAUGCCAAGAGAAAGAAAGAGAGAUGUUAAAAAUGUGAUGUUGAGGUUAUGAAAAUAACCACAGCUUUGCCCAGAGCUAACUCUGUAUUUGAUCA